Molecule: unclassified non-coding RNA, 259 nt
Filed under: root metagenome
Description: partial contains small subunit ribosomal RNA and internal transcribed spacer 1
Source: RNAcentral
UUUCCGUAGGUGAACCUGCGGAAGGAUCAUUCCAAGGUGUGGCAUCUUGACCGCGCAAGGUCAAGUUUGCUACUUUCCUUACACUCACCUGUGCAUUGUGUUUGAGGGGUUGGUUGACGCUCUUGGCCACCUAGUGUGGUCGUCAGCCAGCCACCAUUUUCCACACCUGUUUUUAUACCGAUGCUGAUCUCUCCAGUCAUUGCAAGAUGACUGACAAACAGUACUAAAACAACUGUUGGCAACGGAUCACUCGGCUCUC